Molecule: long non-coding RNA, 34587 nt
Filed under: Vitis vinifera (wine grape)
Lineage: Eukaryota; Viridiplantae; Streptophyta; Magnoliopsida; Vitales; Vitaceae
Description: long non-coding RNA (VVIN_LNC006779)
Source: RNAcentral
UAAUGAGUUACAAAUUCCCCACAAUAGAAUAUUAUGAUCGUCGGCCUUACAAUACUGUUCUUUUAAAAUUUUCUGCUCACUGGAUAGUCAUAGUUCAAACCAUCUAUAUCAAAAGGCUUUCCCAGGCACUCAUCUUCGAAACCUUAGAUCCAGCAAGUCUACAACCGUCUGAGCAUAUUCUUCAAAAAUCCGGUCUCUCAGCAUGGCAUAUGACACUGAUAGGAUUGAAUUUUCAAAUUUCCGACUUAAAGGUCUUGGGCGUUAGCUGGAAGUUAUGAGGUGGCAUACAUGAACGGAUAAUGGACGAAAUAAUGCUUGAAUUUCUUUGAACAUUCCAUUUCAAUAGUUGAAGAGAAACGUGUCAUCGAAUAACUCUUUUGCACUAUAGAUCAACUCGACCAAUAUUCAGUAAAGCUGAACAUUUAUCAAUAACUGCAUCGGAUGCCUCUCAACACUCAACUGCAUUAUGGAACAAACUGGUUACCCCGGUUCUCAUCAUUGACCAUAUCCAAUCAUUGAGGCUCCCCGAAUCACUAUGCAUAGGAGAGCCAGCAUGUGCUAAGGACAGCUUCACAUACUCAAUAAUAAAAUUCCUUGCAUUCAGAUUCAUGCAUCCCUCUAUAGGACUUGUAGAACUAUUAUUGAAAGUGAACAGCCCAGGUUGCUUUCAGAUGAUGUUAAGAGAACCUCUUCUCAUAGAUCCUGUGGAAAUAUUGUAAUCACUGAGACAAUAUCCAUUUCAGCUGGUUGACUUUCCAGUUCCUGUGAUUGAUGCAGCCUUUGUGCUUGAAGAGCUUGACUGCGAUGUUGUCUCUCAUAAGGUCCAUUUUUUACUGUCCAAAACCCAGAUCAGACAUGUGAUGAUGUCUCAACUGUUCAAGAAGCAAUUGUUAAAUGUGAGUCAUGUUGUAACUGUUGUUGCUGCUGCUACAAUUUCAUUUGGUGGUGAUGAAGCUGCUAUUCAUGAAGCUCAAACUCUCACUGCUAUUGUAAGCUUUCCUAGCAAGAUACAUGCGCAAGUCUUUUUUUUUUGGAUCGUCUGACAUGCAGCUUCCUUCCUCAUUUUUUUUUAACGAUGGCCUGCAACUUGAACUCGACAUGAGGCUUGAAUUUGUGUGGCAAAUUGCCGCAAUAAGGCAAAGCUUUUACGAGUUAGAUAUGAACGAACUUUUCUCUGGAUAAUGCUAGCAGAUCUUCCUAAAACCUCAUUCCUACGAGCAUCUAGUUCUGUCAUCUGACCAGCUCUAAGAAACACUUUUGUUUUACCAAUCUGAUACCCUUUAAGGUCCACCUUCUCCAAAAUCCUCUUGGAAGCAGUAACCUCAUCAUGGCUCCCCUUCGAGACAUCAGGUGCAAGGAUGCCAAAAUGAAACUCAACAAACGUUCUUCUUGUGGGAUAUCCAGCACAACUGAUCCUAAUUGCUUUCAAGACACCCCCACAUUACGCAUAUCUCGAAAUCAUUGCAUUCCACACAACAAGGUCCUUGUGGGGCAUUUUAUCAAACAGCUUCCGAGCAAAAGCGAAAUCUCCCGUCUUGGCACAUGCACUGACCAUUGCAGUUUAACACAUCAAACCUAGCUCACGAAUUGAUGAAAACAUCUAUUAGCAAGUAGCCAAACCACCCAAUUCCUGCAUACAUGUAAACUGAACCACUUUGAACAGGUGAGUCAUACUCAAACCCACUUUUUCAGAACGGCACCCCGUACAAACGAACUGAUCCCAUGCACCAAUAGCUGAGCAGAGGUACAAACCAAGGAGGUGAAAGUGUAAUUAUCAGAGACCAAAUAACCAACGGAAAGAAGAAUUCUGUUAUAAAAGUGAAACCUUCAAUGAGGUGCUGAACUUUUGGAAUGGGCUCUGAUCAAAUAGUUGAAGGUGAGGGAGGUUGGGUUCUGAGAGUUGUGACGGGUUGCUGCACUCUUCAUCCCUCAUACCAGCACUUUUGUCAUCCUCCCAAAUCAUGCCUAAAUAUAUUAACACUCAAACACUAAACAAUCUUGGCUAUGAUCACUGAUAACCCAGACUCUUGGUAGCUUGGCAUGUAAGGGUAUCAACAAAAUUUAUACCUAAGGUCCUUACACUAAAGUAGCAAAGCUACUGUAGCAUAGUGGCUCUAGGAUCGAACACUGGGAAGGGUUUUUACUUUAACUGGUGAAGUUCGGAGGAUGGAGUGAACUUUUCUUAAUAAAAAUUAGGUUAAGAUGAAAACAUAAAAAGAUGAAAGUGUUGUAAACUAAACUAACAUGAAAAUAGGUUAAAAGAUGGAAAAAGAAGUUUCUCAAAGCUUUGGAUAGCCAUGCUUAACUCACUGUGUCAAAAUGGAGAUUUUGGGACUCUUCACCUCGAGUUGGGGAAGCAACUAAGGUGAUGCUUACUUCCCGAACCGGUAUGAGUUUAACAACUGAGUUUUAGUCCUUGAAAACUUACAAAAAGAGUAGUUGAACCUCACAAAUGCUCUUUUAUUGGUAUAGGUCAUCUCCUCGACUUGCAAUACAAUGGCUCGUAGGAGAUAACUAAUGAACGUCAGUGGAUCUAACAAUAAGAAUCCACUGAGACCAAAAGAUUAUCAAGUAUUGGUCAUUCAAAGCAAGUCAGAGGGAUUAAAAGCUUUACUUUGAAUGAAAACAUUUAUGACGCUCAACUACUUACAUUUAUGGCUUGGAAACCUCCAUCCUGACACGGGAGCUUCACAUGGCAUCCAUUACUUCAAGAAACUAAAAGGUUUUAGCCUCUCAUCCUUGGUGAUUUCAUCCUCCAAGGAUGUUUGGCUACUAAGAAAAUGAGAAAGAAAAGAGAAAAGAAGCGUAUGAACAAAAGUGCUCUUAUAACUUAUAAAGUUACAGGUUACAAGAUUAGAUGAUCUGAGGCUCUUCAACUCUAUUUAAAGACAAUAACAAGCUAAAUUACAAGAGCUAUUACAAAAGCAACCUAUUCAUUGGUUGAUUACAAGGGUAAAAUAGGUAUUUACAAAGCUAAAAAUCAAGCAAAAUAUCUUGGAGAACCGGCAGUGGAAUAUCAUCAACACCGUCUCAAAACAGGGGAUUUCAGAGGUAUUUCGCAAGGUGCCUAAAUCCACCUUGCGAAAUUUCGCAAGGGGUUCUUCAUGGUGCGAAGUGGCCAAAUUUCGCACCAUGAAGAAAAUCUCCUUGCGAAAUUGGUCAUUUGACAUGAUGCAGUUGUCUUCCGAAGGCCAUAUCUUCCUCAUUUCAGCUCCAAAUCAUACACGGUUUGAAGAGUUGGAUUCUUGACUUCCUAAGCUUUCAAAUGGUAUAUAGCAUGCAAAAAAUGGACUUCAGAAAGUGCUUCAAAAGUGCGAAAGAAGACUGCAGCUAUUUUCUUCACUCUGUUUUCCUCUUCUCCAUUGCUUGUGCUCGUGUUUCCACUUGAAAUUCAAGCAUGUAAACGUCCAAAAUCCUUGCUUAACUCGCCCAAAUAGCUCCUCCAUCAAUUGGCAUGCUUGAAUUGAUUCAUAAGCUGAUAAAAACAUGUAAACUUGCCACAAAAUGGUUAAAACCAAUUACUAAGGACCUUAAUGAAUUAAUUGGGUUAAAUGAAUAUGAUUACUACUCAAAGGUGCUUAAAACCAUUAUAAUUAGGUCUACAAAAUUGCACUUUUUGGUAGUAAUCAAUCACUCUUUCCUCUAUCGUCCACUUCCAAAAUCCGUGAAAACCUCGGUUCGACUUUCUUGUUUCGAAAAGUUUAUCAUUGCAAACUAGAAAAAUCAGAUUCCUUCUCAUUGGUAUUUUCUUCAAACAAAUCUCACGCUCCCCAAUCUGUCCUUGAUCUACAUAUCCUUAACAAGUGAACAAACAGCCGACCAGCUAGAAUUUUGAAGUGUUUGAUCUCUUUGCUGAAUCUCAUGACUAUAUUCCCAAGCCUUGGAGUCACCCCCAUAUCAAGAAUUGAUGGCUAUGUGACGGGUAGGAAGAAAGGCAAAACAGAUAUGGUAGAGAGUAGAGGAAACGAUGGGAAAACAGACAUGGGAGAUUAAAAGAAAAUAAAACCACAUCUCAUGAUUUUUCAAUAGGCUCAGGUUAGUGGGAACAGGCAUGGAGUUAUAUGCUUCCGAAGACAUUAAUGACAUCCAAAAUCAAAACAAAGCAAACAGGCAAGUAACCAAUCUCAACAAAGCAAAUUGUGGCCCUUUUCGUCCACACAAAACUCAACAAAACAAUUAAAUAUUCAGGAAUUGAACACACGGAAAAAUCAAAUAUAGGUAAGAAUUCCAAAAGCAACGAGGUGCAUACCUGGACAGCUUUGGUUGCAAUGGCUCGGCUUCUGGCUAUCUUUUCUCUUCCUUCUGAAGACAAUUCCCAGAUAAAAAUCCUCUUUUUGCUUGUUCUUUCUUCCUCCUCCUCCCUCUCUAGACUCCAAUACGUGCUUCUCACCAAAAAAGAAUCUCCUCCCACAAUCAAAAAAGCUUCCUCCCUUUUUUUUUUCUUCCUCUCUCACGUAUAUAUCUCCGCCUUUCCCUAAAACCUAAAUCUCCCUAAAAAAAAGGUGAAAUUUCCUAUUUUCUCUCUUCUUUUCUCCUUAUCCUUUUUAAAAUCUUCCAAUUCAAAAGCAAUCUUCCCAACUUCAAAUUCCUCUCCAAAACCUUCUAAGGAGAGUCCCACUUUCCUUAAACUCCAAUGGUAAGUUUCCUUGCAAAAGCAUGAAAUUUUAGAAGUUAAACAAUUGCAUGAAUAGAUAAAUAAGUAAAUAAAUUAGAAAAUGGUAAAAAUAAUAAAUAAAUAAAUAAGUUAAGGAAAAUAAUAUAAAGAGGAAGAUAACCAAUAAAAAGUGACUGAUAAUCAUAAAACUAAAACUAAAAAUAAAAAAAUAAUAAUAAAAAUAAAAUAAAAUAAAAUAAAAAUAAACAAAUUAACAAAAAAUGGGCCCCACGAGCCAUGCAAACACGCAAGUCAUAUAAGUCACGCUAAAAAAAGUCUUCAUAGACCCAGUAUAUCUAAACGGGCUUAAGGUGAGACUAAGUGGGCCUAAGGUGGUGCCUGAUGGGUCAAGUGUAUCUUAAACCUAUCCUAAAAAAAGCAAGAAAAGCCUAAAUCUAAAUCAAAACUGCCAAGGAUCACAAUAAAGGGUCAGAUAAUCCCUUAACCAAAGUCUCCGAGGUGACUCAGAAAAAGGUAAGUUAUACGAGUAGUAAUGGGCCACCAAGGAACUACUGUGGAGCACUGAAAACGAACUUAAAAACAUGUGCUAAAGGGACAAAAUUGAGGGUCUACAAAUAUGCCCCUCUUCGGUAUAGAUCACGAGUGUAGAGAAUGUGAGUAGAAACGCGAGUAAUGAGCGGAAUGAAGUGAACUAUACCGAAGAACUAAAGAAGGACCAAAGAUUUUGUCUUAGCACAUGGCGAGAGUAAGGUCGGAACAUGAGUCUGUAACGACAAGGAUGGAACAACUCUACGUGGGGGAAUGGCAGUAAAGAUAGAAAGUAUGUGAUGAGUAGCGCAAAGAUGGAAAGAGAUGAAAAUGAUGACUCAAAGUUAUGGAUGAGAUGAAUAACUCUAGAUCAUGGAUAAGAUGAACGGCACUGGGUCAAAAAUAAGACAAAAGACUCUGGGUCAUGAGCUCAGGGCUCUAAUUGGAAAGAAUGACUCUGGGUCGAGAGCUCUGGGCUCUAACUAGGAAAGAAUGACUCUGGGUCAAAAUGGAAAAUGACUUUGGGUCAAGAGCUCUAGGCUCUAAAUAGGAAAGAAUGACUCUGGGUCGAGAGCUCUGGGCUCUAAAUAGAUAGCCGAUCAGGAUACUUUCCGACUCAAGGUGCCGGGUCGAGGCCACUCACAAGUGGCUAGAAUGAUGAAAACGAAACAUCUCAGGGAUGUGAAUGAUGCAAAUGACUCCGGGUCGUGAGCUCAGGGCUCGGGGUGCUAUGAAUGACUCUAGGUCAAGAUGAAAAAUGACUCUGGGUCGAUGAAUAGCUCAGGGCUAUGAGCUCCGGGCUCUAUAACUGAUCGGCUAGAAGGAAAAUGCGAUAAGCAAACUCCAGGUCAAACCACUCAUGGGCGACCAAAUGAUGAAAGCUCAGCUAAGAGCUGGAAAGACUCCGGGUCUAUAGGAAAUGAUAGCUCAGGGCUAGCGGGCUCAGGGCCUGAGGGAAAAAGGAUAGCUCAGGGCUAUAAGACUCAGGGUCUAGAAGGAAUGGAUAGCUCAUAGCUAUGAGGCUCAGGGCCUAAAAAAAAAGGAUAGCUCAGGGCUAGCGGGCUUAGGGCCUAAGGGAAAAAGGAUAGCUCAGGGCUAUAAGACUCAGGGUCUAGAAGGAAUGGAUAGCUCAUGGCUACGAGGCUUAGGGCCUAAAAAAAAGGAUAACUCAGGGCUACUAGGCUCAGGGCCCAAGGGAAGAAGAAUGCUCAGGGCUGUAAGACUCGGGGUCUAGAAGGAAUGAAUAACUCAGAUCUACGAGGCUCAGGGCCUAGAAGGGAAUAAUAGAGAAGACCAACUCGAAAGUGGACAUGAAAUAAAUUGGCUCAAAGCCAUAUACUCAAAAUGUCAAGGGUCGGACUACUGAAACCAAGAAGGGAAAUAUGCCCCAGUAUCCAGGGUGCUCACACUGCUGAAACAACCAGUAAACCAAUCAUCUGCUAGAAUCAAUGGGUCAAGAACCAAUACAUCAUGACAAACCUCUGAAAAGUCAGAACUGAAAGAGACCUCUGUGUUUGAAAAACUGCUCUGUCGACAAAUCUCAAAAGGUAAAUCUCGAAGCGUGUAUAUCGUGGCUCAUCUAAAAGCAAAUCUCAAAGUGCACAAAAUGGUGCAUGUUCGGAUAACCCAAUCAACAAGGUAACAAUGACGAAAACAAAUCUGUCUCAUGAACAUCUGGCUAAAGGAUCCACCCACGCUCCUCGGGUGAAACCUGAUGCGAUCCAUCUCUAUCUCAACAAAUCCAUGUAGGGAGGCCCUGAUACAGUCGAUCGUCGGAAGCUCUGGGCUAGUACUCAAUCUAAAACCAAGCUGGUCGCUGUCUCAAUCUCAAGGAUACUCAGAAAGUAGGGAAAUAUGCCCCAGUAUGAGACCUAAUGUCAAAGUCAUAAGCUAAACAACCGACACCAAUCAUCCAUCCUCAUAUCACUGCCCAAAUAAAUCUCGUAAUAGAGAGGGGAAUAUGCCCCAGUAUGGAUAUCGGAUGUCGAAGUCGUGAGUCAAACAAACUAACAAUGAUCAUCCAUCCUCGUACCGCUGUCCAAACACAAUCUCAUCAAGGAGAGGGGAAUAUGCCCCAGUGUGGAUAAUCUAAUGUCGAAGUCGUGAGGUAAACAAACUAACAAUGAUCAUCCAUCCUCGUACCAUAUACAAUAACAGAUAAGAAUCUCGGAGGAGGGGGGAAUAUGCCCCAGUGUGAAUAUAUGAUGCACAACCAAAGGAUGAAUCCAACAUCAUCAAUCAGCUGUCCUCAGCUCAACAAUAAUCCGCUAAGAAGUCAGAAUGAUGUAUCGACCAAUGCCUCAAGGGAGACACUCUAAAUCUAAUCUCAAAUGAAUAGCCAAAAUGAUGAGGAAUGUGGUAAUCUCAAAAGUAGAAACAUGUCUCUGAUGAAUCCCUGACUGAAUCUGAUAGGAAUCUGGUAACCUCAAAAUGGGGAAAUAUGCCCCAGUAUGCCUGAUCUAUACACUGCACUGAAAACUGCCUCCAACUCAGUAAUAAUCCACUAGUCUAUCUUAGAAGUACUCCGCGAAUGGAACCACUAGGGGCUCAACGAUGCUCCAUUAGAACUGAUAUAGUCUCAACAUACCUCACUAGGGAUCUCUGAUCGGUGAAAAUACCCAGACUCAAAGAAAGUGCUUCACUAGGGGCUCAUCUCAACCAAAUGAAAGGGGAAUAUGCCCCAAUAUGGAUAUCUAAUGCACAACCAAAGGAUGAAUCCAAUAUCCUCAAUGAACUGUCUCCAAACCCAAAAAUCCAUCAAACAUCAAUAUGCCAAGCAAGAGAGAGACCAAAUGCUUCCAAAAGUAUCUUCCAUAAAAGGGAACAUAGUGAUUACUACUCAAAAAGUGCUAUUUGAUAGCUUGUAAUUAACUCUUUUAAACACUUUUGAGUAGUAGUUAUCACCUUUUAACCCAAUUAACAUAUUAAGGACCUUUCCAAUUAUUUCUAAUCACUUUGUGUAAGUUUUGGUGUUUUUGUUAGUAAUUUGAUCACCAAAGCAAUCCAAGAUUGAGGAGAGUUCUUUGGAAUCCAUGGCAAAUCAAUGGAAAGCUCAAAAACAUGAAGAACCUAAGCUUUAAAGUCCUUUUCCAUAAACAAAUCAUGAAUACAAGGAUGAAAGCAAAGAGAAAAAUCUAACAUGAAGAAUCCAAGAGGACAUCAACUAUUUGACACUUUUGGAGCACUUCCUAAAGUCCAUUUGUUGCAUACUAUAUGUCGUUUCGAAGCUCGGGAAUUCAGAAAUCCAACGCUUCAAAUGGUUCAUGAAUCGAAGUUCAAAUGAAGAAGUUAGAGCCAUUGGAAGACAAUCACAUCAAGCUGAAGGCUAAUUUCGCAGGGCUGCAAAAUCAGUCUUUGGCUGCGAAAUGAUUUCGCAGCCAUCUUGUACGUCUGCGAAAUUUCGCAGCCAUUUUGUGCACUUGCGAAAUUCUCCUGAGUGCUUCUAGAUAUUUGCGGCCGACAUUUUUUGAUAUUUUGCUUCAGAUAUUUGCUGUCUAAAUCCCAAUUCUCUCCUUGUAAUCCACCAAUUAUAGCAUUCCUUAGUUGUUAAGCAAGAACAAAAGGGUGAAUAACCUCAUAUAUAUUGUUUUGUAAUUUUCAUUUUAUAGAUAUCUCGGGAGCCUGUUCUCAGAGAAUCAACUUUUUGUAUAGUUUGAAAGGAAGUAAAAUACAGAGCUUUGCUCUGCCUUACCUACUCAAUUUGAUUGUGUUUUUCAUUUACUAGCCAAACAAGCUCUGAGGAUGUUUCUUCAGAGAAUGGGUGGCUAGGCUUUUUGUUUCUUGGAGCUAAGGUAGCCAAGGAAGGUGCCGAAUGCAAGAAUUGGUAGUUUUGUUGUUUCAGCUGUUAAUGAAGAGAAAGUGUAACCCGUUUAUGAUUUCUAUGUUUUUAGUUAAUUUAAAACGCCUUCAAUUCACCUGAGCCAACACUUGGUAAGGCAAGUGAUCUCCGUCCAUGGAGAUGCACUAGUUUACCUCUUGCGAGCUUUUGGGAGGUGACCUGAAGGUAGGAUUUUCUAGAAUUGCCAACACUUGGUAAGCUUUUGGACUCUAAGGAGGCAUCCAUUAGUUAUCUCUUGCGAGCUUGAGAAGGGAAGUCCAAGGUUAAUGAUCACCUUGAAUGGCAAAUGCUAGGUGAGAGGCACGAGCCAUUGCAAGAUGCGUCAGUGAGAGGGAAUUAGUGCUGAAAUUCAUAAAAGGGAAGCAUCUGUACAACACCGGUUGGAGAAUGAACUAUAUGUUAAUUCUCUAAUGCGAGGAAAAGAACCAAAGUGACCGGAACUCUGUUUUUGCAUGAGAAGCCUGACCCCAUGAUCCUAACACUCCAAGAGACGCUUUUUUCUUUAUAAGUAAUUCCCAUUACUUUCUUUUUAGUUAGCUUGAAACCAAACCUUUUUCAACCAAAGUUUAUGUUUUCUUUUGAAGCUAACCUUGAAAUGAAAAGGCACCAAUUCAACUUUGAAUUGGUAUCAGUUGUAAGUUGAAAACCCUUCCCAAUGAACGAUCCUAGAGCCACUAUGCUAUACUAGCUUAUGCUAUCCUAGUGCAUGGUGAUAUAGGUUAUAAAUUUUGUUGAUUACUCCCAUUAGGGGACCAAAAUCAAGGUACACCAGCUGGGAAAAUACGAAUCAAAUGGCGUCGUUGCCGGGGAAGGUGCCAAUUUCACAGUGAUAUAAUUUCAGAGUACUUGUGAUUUUCAUCACAAGUUUGGUAAUUUUUCUUUCAUUUUACUAACUCUUUCACUCGUUUCUUUUACUUGUUCAUACUUUAACAUAUCUUUUACUUAAGUUUUAGUUCAUUUUAAUCUUUUUGUAGUCUUGUUUUCUUUUGUUUUUUCUUUUGUUUUUGUUUUAGUUACAGUUGAUACUAGUUGUGUAUGCCAAAUUGGAUACGAGAUAGUGGAGGAAGGCUUGUUAAACGUGAUACACCUCAUAACAAGGAAUUGGAAUUGAGCUUGAAAAUCAUGGAAGCUACGCCUGAAGAUCAGCAUAGUCACCAUGGUCACCAGGACAAUCCCAAUGCUUUCAGAUCAAUGAGGGACCGCAUGCAUCCACCUCGUAUGAGUGCACCAUCAUGUAUAGUGCCCCCUACAGAGCAGCUAGUGAUCAGACCGCAUAUUGUUCCACUUCUACCAACUUUCCAUGGGAUGGAAAGUGAGAAUCCCUAUGCACAUAUCAAGGAAUUUGAAGAAGUUUGUAAUACAUUCCAAGAAGGAGGAGCUUCAAUCGACUUGAUGAGGCUUAAGUUAUUUCCUUUCACUUUAAAGGAUAAGGCCAAGAUUUGGCUUAAUUCUUUAAGGCCAAGGAGUAUUCAUACUUGGACUGAUUUACAAGCUGAAUUCCUCAAGAAGUUUUUUCCUACUCACAAAACAAAUGGCUUGAAAAGGCAAAUUUCAAACUUCUCAGCUAAAGAGAAUGAGAAAUUCUAUGAGUGUUGGGAAAGAUACAUGGAAGCCAUUAAUGCUUGUCCUCACCAUGGUUUUGAUACAUGGCUAUUGGUGAGCUAUUUCUAUGAUGGGAUGUCUUCCUCAAUGAAGCAACUCCUUGAGACAAUGUGUGGAGGAGAUUUCAUGAGUAAGAAUCCGGAGGAAGCUAUGGACUUCUUGAGUUAUGUGGCUGAAGUUUCAAGAGGAUGGGAUGAACCAAACAAAGGAGACGUGGGAAAGAUGAAGUCUCAACCGAAUGCUUUUAAUGCUAAGGCUGGGAUGUUCACUUUGAAUGAAGAUGUUGAUAUGAAAGCAAAGUUUGCAGCUAUGACAAGAAGAUUGAAGGAGUUAGAACUGAAAAAGAUGCAUGAAGUGCAAGCUGUUGCUGAAACACCAGUGCAAAUACAGCAGCCGUGUCCUAUUUGUCAAUCUUAUGAACACUUGGUGGAGGAGUGCCCUACAAUUCCAGCUGUAAAGGAGAUGUUUGGAGAUCAAGCAAAUGUUAUUGGACAAUUCAGGCCCAAUACCAAUGCUCCGUAUGGAAAAAUACUUACAACUCAAGUUGGAGGAAUCAUCCAAAUUUCUCAUGGAAGCCAAGAGCACCUCAGUACCAACAGCUGGCUCAACCAUCUCAACAAGCUUCAAGCCUUGAACAAGCAAUAGUGAAUCUCAGCAAGGUUGUGGGAGAUUUUGUUGGAGACCAAAAAGCCAUCAAUGCUCAACUCAGUCAAAGAAUUGACAGUGUAGAGAAUACUUUGAAUAAAAUGAUGAAUGGGAUGCAAAAUGACUUAUCUCAAAAGAUAGAUAAUCUCCAGUACUCAAUCUCAAGGCUCACUAACUUGAACACAGUGCAAGAGAAGGGUAGAUUUCCUUCUCAACCUCACCAAAACCCCAAGGGUAUCCAUGAAGUGGAAACUCAUGAAGGAGAAUCUUCACAGGUGAGAGAUGUUAAAGCCUUGAUCACUCUAAGGAGUGGUAAAAAGGUUGAGUUGCCAACACCCAAGCCACAUGUUGAAGAAAAAGAAGAGACAAAGAAGAGGGAGGAAAUCAAAGGAAAGAAGAAAGAUAUCAGUGAAAGGAAAGAGGACCAUGAUUCAACACUGAAUGCAAAUCCGGAGAAAAUGCUUAUUAAAGAAGAAAUGUUGAAGAAGCACACCCCUCCUCCUUUUCCUCAAGCUUUGCAUGGGAAAAAGGGGAUUAGAAAUGCAUCAGAGAUUCUUGAAGUAUUAAGACAAGUGAAAGUCAAUAUUCCAUUGCUGGAUAUGAUUAAACAAGUUCCAACAUAUGCAAAAUUCCUAAAGGAUUUGUGUACUAUCAAAAGAGGGUUGAAUGUGAACAAGAAAGCCUUCUUGACUGAGCAAGUAAGUGCUAUCAUACAAUGCAAGUCUCCUUUAAAGUACAAAGAUCCGGGAUGUCCUAUCAUUUCAGUCAUGAUAGGAGGAAAGGUAGUGGAGAAAGCUUUGUUAGACUUGGGAGCAAGUGUGAAUUUGCUACCAUACUCUGUCUACAAGCAAUUGGGACUUGGUGAAUUGAAGCCAACAUCAAUCACUCUAUCUCUAGCAAAUAGAUCAGUGAAAAUUCCAAGGAGGGUAAUUGAAGAUGUCUUAGUUCAAGUUGAUAAUUUAUACUAUCCAGUAGAUUUUGUUGUUCUUGAUACGGACCCCAUUGUCAAGGAAGCUAAUUUUGUUCCUAUCAUCCUUGGAAGGUCAUUCCUUGCUACCUCAAAUGCAAUCAUCAACUGUAGGAAUGGACUUAUGCAACUUACUUUUGGCAACAUGACACUUGAGCUCAAUAUCUUUUAUAUGUCUAAAAAGCAAAUCACUCCGGAAGAAGAAGAAGGUCCAAAAGAGGUAUGCAUUAUUGACACUCUAGUGGAGGAGCACUGUAAUCAGAAUAUGCAAGACAAGUUGAAUGAAAGUCUUGGGGAUCUUGAAGAAGGGUUACCUGAACCCUCUGAUGUGAUUGCCACUCUACAAGGUUGGAGGAGGAGAGAAGAGAUUCUACCUUUGUUCAAUAAAGAGGAGGCACAAGAAGCUGAUAAAGAAGAGAUCCCAAAGCUCAAUUUGAAGCCUCUGCCUAUGGAGUUGAAAUACACAUACCUGGAAAGGAAUCAACAAUGCCCUGUUGUUAUAUCUUCAUCUCUUACUAGUCCUCAGGAGAAGUGUCUACUUGAAGUUCUCAUGAGGUGUAAGAAAGCAAUAGGAUGGCAAAUAUCUGACUUGAAAGGCAUUAAUCCCUUGGUUUGUACACAUCAUAUAUACAUGGAGGAAGAAGCUAAACCAAUUCGUCAACCUCAAAGAAGAUUGAAUCCUCAUUUGCAAGAGGUGGUGCGAGUUGAAGUGUUGAAGCUACUUCAAGCAGGUAUUAUCUACCCAAUAUCUGACAGCCCUUGGGUGACUCCUACUCAAGUGGUACCAAAGAAAUCAGGGAUUACUGUGGUUCAAAAUGAAAAAGGAGAAGAAAUCACUACACGCCUCACUUCAAGUUGGAGGGUGUGUAUUGAUUAUAGAAGAUUGAAUGAUGUAACAAGGAAAGAUCAUUUUCCAUUGCCUUUUAUUGAUCAAGUCUUGGAGAGAGUCUCUGGCCAUCCUUUCUAUUGUUUCUUGGACGGGUACUCCGGAUAUUUUCAAAUUGAAAUUGAUGUUGAAGAUCAGGAGAAGACUACUUUCACAUGUCCAUUUGGAACAUAUGCCUACAGAAGAAUUCCUUUUGGUUUAUGCAAUGCACCUGCAACAUUCCAAAGAUGUAUGCUAAGUAUCUUUAGUGAUAUGGUGGAGCGAAUUAUGGAAGUUUUCAUGGACGACAUCACCAUAUAUGGAGGUACAUUUGAAGAAUGCUUAGUCAACUUGGAAGCGGUUCUUAAAAGAUGCAUUGAGAAGGACUUGGUGCUCAACUGGGAGAAAUGCCAUUUUAUGGUACAUCAAGGAAUUGUCCUUGGCCAUAUCAUCUCCGAGAAAGGCAUUGAGGUUGAUAAAGCAAAGGUGGAACUUAUUGUCAAAUUGUCGUCCCCAACAACUGUAAAAGGAGUAAGGCAAUUCCUUAGCCAUGCAAGGUUCUAUAGGAGAUUUAUAAAAGAUUUCUCUAAUCUUUCAAAACCUCUUUGUGAACUUUUGGCUAAGGAUGCUAAGUUUAUAUGGGAUGAAAGAUGUCAGAAGAGUUUUGAUCAAUUGAAGCAAUUUUUGACAACCACUCCAAUAGUGAGGGCUCCUAACUGGCAACUACCCUUUGAAGUAAUGUGUGAUGCCAGUGACUUUGCUAUAGGAGUUGUGCUUGGCCAAAGAGAAGAUGGAAAGCCCUAUGUGAUCUACUAUGCAAGCAAGACAUUGAACGAAACUCAAAGGAACUACACAACUACAUAGAAAGAAUUGUUAGUUGUAGUGUUUGCCUUAGACAAGUUUCGUCCUUAUCUGGUAGGGUCGUUCAUCAUUGUUUUCAUUGACCAUUCAGCCUUGAAGUAUUUAUUGACAAAACAAGAUGCAAAAGCAAGGUUGAUUAGAUGGAUUCUCUUAUUACAAGAGUUCGAUCUCCAAAUCAGAGAUAAGAAAGGAGUGGAGAAUGUGGUAGCUGACCACCUUUCAAGGUUAGUUAUAGCACACAAUUCCCAUGUCCUACCUAUUAAUGAUGAUUUUCCUGAGGAAUCACUUAUGUUGCUAACAAAAACUCCUUGGUAUGCUCAUAUUGCUAACUAUCUAGUUACUGGUGAAGUUCCAAGUGAGUGGAAAGCACAAGACAGGAAGCACUUCUUUGCAAAGAUUCAUGCUUAUUAUUGGGAAGAACCUUUCCUUUUCAAGUAUUGUGCAGAUCAAAUAAUAAGGAAGUGUGUCCCUGAAGAAGAGCAACAAGGAAUCCUCAGCCAUUGCCAUGAAAGUGCAUGUGGAGGCCACUUUGCCUCUCAGAAAACAGCCAUGAAGGUGUUGCAAUCAGGGUUUACUUGACCAUCACUUUUCAAAGAUGCCCACAUCAUGUGUAGGGGCUGUGAUAGAUGCCAAAGGCUUGGGAAGCUAACAAGAAGGAAUCAAAUGCCUAUGAACCCCAUUCUAAUAGUUGAUCUCUUUGAUGUUUGGGGCAUUGACUUCAUAGGACCUUUCCCAAUGUCUUUUGGUAACUCUUAUAUCUUGGUGGGGGUGGAUUAUGUUUCUAAAUGGGAUGAGGCAAUCCCCUGUAAACACAAUGAUCACAAGGUAGUUCUCAAGUUUCUUAAAGAGAACAUCUUCUCAAGAUUUGGGGUGCCCAAAGCCAUAAUCAGUGAUGGAGGUACUCAUUUUUGCAACAGACCUUUUGAAACCCUAUUAGCCAAGUAUGGAGUGAAGCAUAAGGUAGCUACACCUUAUCACCUUCAGACUUCCGGGCAAGUUGAGCUAGCAAACAGGGAAAUCAAGAAUAUAUUGAUGAAGGUGGUGAUCACGAGCAGACGAGAUUGGUCUAUUAAGCUUCAUGAUUCAUUAUGGGCAUAUAGAACAGCUUACAAGACUAUUCUUGGCAUGUCUCCAUAUCGCCUAGUUUAUGGCAAAGCAUGCCAUCUCCCUGUGGAAGUUGAAUAUAAGGCUUGGUGGGCAAUCAAGAAAUUAAACAUGGACUUGAUUAGGGCUGGGGCAAAGAGGUGCUUAGACCUUAAUGAGAUGGAGGAAUUACGAAAUGAUGCAUACAUCAAUUCCAAAGUUGCAAAACAGAGGAUGAAGAGGUGGCAUGAUCAAUUAAUCUCUAACAAAGAAUUCCAGAAAGGACAAAGAGUCUUACUCUAUGAUUCAAGGCUCCAUAUCUUUCCUAGGAAGCUCAAGUCAAGGUGGAUAGGUCCUUUCAUUAUUCACCAAGUGCAUCCCAGUGGAGUGGUGGAAUUACUGAAUUCCAACAGUAUUGACACUUUCAAGGUCAAUGGUCAUCGUCUCAAGCCAUUCAUUGAGCCAUUCAAGCAAGAAAAGGAGGAAAUCAACCUCCUUGAGCCACAGAAAGCCUAAUCAGAAAAGGGUUAGAUGGGCUUGGUUUCACCAAAGUCCAUAUUUUUGUUUAAGUUUAUUAAUUUAAAGGCUUUAUUAAUUCUUUUGAUUUUAAUUUUGGUCUAAAGUUUUGUUAAUUAUAUGUAACUUCAUCUUUUUUAUUUAUCUAUUGUAGGAGGAAUUGCAAAGAAAAUGAAGGAUGGUCUCUUGGAGCUGAAAUGGAGCUCAAAAGCAAGGGAAAAAUUCAUGGCCUGCGAGAUUUCGCAGCCAAAGGUCUCCCCUGCGAAAUCGCCACUCCGCUGCGAAAUGAUUUCGCAGCCCCAAGAAGCCGCUGCGAAAACGCCACUGUGCUGCAAAAUAAUUUCGCAGCCCAACACCCCCCUCUGCGAAAAUUUUCGCAGCUGCAAAACCCUCUCUUGGCACACGAGUGCCAUUUCGUAGCACAGUAACCCCAUUUCGUAGCUGCGAAAUGGCUGCGAAAUCCCCAAAGCGUGAAAUCUCCAAUUUUCGCAGCCAAAGCCCCAUUUCGCAGGGUGUUUUACAGCUGCGAAACACCCCUUUGGCACACGAGUGCCAUUUCGCAGCAUAGUAACCCCAUUUCGCAGCUGCGAAAUGGGCUGCGAAAAGGGGCCUCCCCUGCGAAAAUGCCCCUCCAUUGCGAAAUCCGCCCUCCUCUGCGAAAAUUAAAACGACCCUUGGCAUCCAAUUUUUUAACGGUAUAAAUUCCAUAUUUCUAAUAAACCAGUCAUUUGAACUCCAAACAAGUGCCAGAGAAGAGCCAAACCAGAGAAACCUUCCAUCUUCUCCCUCCCAUCUGAACCUAAGCCGCGUGCACCUCCGCCCAUCUCCUCCGGUCCGCCAUGGCAAGAACCCGAGGAGCUAAGUCCUCGUCUCCGUCAAGCCGCAAGAGAGCUGCAACAAAGACUCCUGUUCAAGGCUCCGCAUUCGAGCCUCCGUGACCACUAGGCGUCCCACCUCCGGUUGAGGACGCACCGAUGAGGCGCUAUCAGACAAGGGCAAGUAGCCAUCCCCCAAGAAAAAAGCCAAGGUAUCAGAGCCAGCGCUAAUUGAUUUAUUAGAGCCGUUAUCAGAGCCAUCCACAAAGCCUCAGCCGUCUCAGCCACCACCUACAGAUUCUCAGAUUCCCUCAGGCAUGACCCCUGAGGUGCUUAUCAGGCGUCCCAUGCUCACUCAGCCACCCAUUGAGGGUAAUUUGGACUGCAGGGCUAGGCCAUUCCACUCCGAGCUCUGUUUUGACACAGUCGCUUUCAGACUUCAGCCUAAUCUCAGGGACUCCUUCCAUCUGCUCCAGAGGUAUCAUAUGGAGCAUUUGCUGACUCCCAGGGAUUUUUUCUAUCCUCGUGUAGCAAUGGAUUUUUAUCAAUCCAUGACCACACACCAGGUCCGAGAUCUUACUGUCAUCCACUUCACCAUAGACGGACGUCAUGGUAUUCUAGGAGCCAGACAUAUAGCAGAGGCAUUGCGUAUUCCCUACGAGCCAGCUAGUCCAGAGGAUUAUCGAGUCUGGACUCAUCCUUCCCAGAGCGACAUAGUUCGUAUUCUGUCCAGAGGGGCAUCCACACGCCAGUAUCUGUUGAGGAAGGAGCUCCCUCCUAGCAUGUUUUUCAUAGAUGCACUCUUGCGCCAUAACAUCUUUCCACUUCAGCACUGGGUAUAGAGGAGAGGAGUCUUGCUAGAGGCAUUGUUCAGGAUAUCUGAGGGAUUCUUCUUUGGCCCUCAUCAUCUCAUUAUGGCCGCUCUUCUGUACUUUGAAGAGAAGGUCCAUAAGAAGAAGCUGCUCAGAGCCGAUGCUAUUCCACUUCUUUUCCCCAGAUUGUUAUGUCAGAUUCUGGAGCACUUGGGGUAUCCAUCUGAGCCUCAAUUUGAGCGCAAACGCAUUUGCCGAGAGAUAUUCACUCUCGACAAAUGGACGAGUAUGACAGCCUAUAGUGCAGAGCCGGGAGCCCCAGUUGGAGUAGAGCAUCCAGAGAUUCCACAUCCAGAGCAGCCAGAGGAGCCAUAGCCCGUUGAGAUACCAGCUGACACGAGAGCACCUGCCCCUACAGUGCCCUCUACAGAGCCUAUACCUGAGGUUGCACCCUCUGCUCCUCCUGCUACACCACGGCCUUCCCCUGUUAUUCCAGCUACAUUAGAGCCCUCUUCUUCAUUUGAGCCUAGGAUUGCCAUAUCCAAUUCCGAGUACAGAGCUCUAUGUCACACUUUGCAGGCAUUGACCACUUCUCAGAGCAUCUUUACUCAAGAGAUCACAGCUCUUUGUGCUCAUCAGGAGCAGAUUAUUACCACUCAGACUCAGCAUACUGCCAUCCUGAGGCAGAUUCAGCACCAUCUGGGUAUUCCAUCAGCUCCUGAGCACCAGAUGCCUACCCUCUUAGAGCCCACAAAACCAUCACAGGCCCCUCCUUUCGUAAAACAGGCUUUGCCCUCUGAGGAGCCGACUACAGGAGAUGCAGAGACAUCCACCUGAGCCAUUAUCUUCACGUCAUCAUCCUCCAUCUAUCUGAUCAUUUCCAUAGUUUACUUUAUGUAUUUUCUUUAUGCAUUUUCUUAUUAUAGUAGCACUGGUAAUCCCAUGCUUUUGAUAUGUUAUAUAUUGGGAUUGGUUGUAUUACUUGUUUUCCCCUAUAGUGUACUUUCAUGAAGUAAUACAAAUCUAUCAUUUUUGCGUACUCUUGCUAUUAUUUUAUUUUUAUUCCUCUACUCAUAUCUGUUAUUGUUUUUGAAACAUGUGGUUUCUCCUAAUCUACUCGAACUUCAUAUCACUCAGGAGGCACCACUUCCUCCCUGUAAUUUCAAUCGCUCAUACCACAUUGAGGACAAUGCUCAGCUUGGUUGGGGGGGACAGUUGAGGAAGGAAGUUUUUUAUUGUUAAUACUAAGUAUUUUGGUAAUUUAGUUGCUUUUUGCUUAAUUUUAAAAUUUUUUAAGUUUUUAUUCUACUCUCCAUGGUUAUUAAGGAAAAAUUUUCAAAAUGAAAUGGGAGAAAUUGAAUUUUUGUCUUUUUACUUGACUUAGAGUUUGUAUUAUGCUUACUAAAGUUGAUGAAUUGUUGAAACUUCUAUUGAAUUCAACCGUAGUUCUUCCACUUUAAGCUAUUCACACAUUGUGCACAAUAGGUUCCAAUUAUAAGAUGAGAAACUAUUUCCCUCUUGACUUAGGAAAAUUUAGACUUGGUACCUUUGACCUCAUUUAAUAGUGUUGGGACACCUUAUAAAAGGCCAAUGAGCCUUUGAAAAAAAAAAAGAAGAAGAAAAUAAAGAAAAAUGUUUGCUUACCUUGAAACCCGAGCAAGGUCUGAGGGGUAUAUGUUGAAAAUCUUUAAAACCUGGUGCCCUAAGCCUUCAUUGGUUGGGAGUCACUGACCUCAUGCUCGUUAAAAGGGUGAAUAGGUGGAGUUUAACAUACUGUAGGUGCUUGGGUAUUAAAAUUCAUUCUCAAGAGUCCGGGGUAAAAUCCGAGGAGUUAGUGGUUGAAAGAUCCUUAAAGCUUGAUGCCCUAAACCUUAAUUGGUUGGGAGUCAUCGAGGGACCCCCAUUACAUGGACAAUUUAGAAAAGAAUACCUUUAAGCCUUGUACUCCUACAAUGAAAAGAAUUGUAAAAUAAAAGGGUGCGUUCUUAGCCUAUUGAAUUUAGUCAGUUUGCUAAGUGUUGAAAAAGAACUAGGUUGGGGGGAGAGAUUAGUUUAGCAUACUAUAUUUGGAAAUUAUCAAGUAACACUUAGAUUUUUUGUGGAAGAGUAAGGUUGGGUCCUUUGGAAGUGGAAAUGAUUUUAAAGCUUCAAUUUGCAUAAUACCUUCUCUUUAUGAAUUGUGAUUAGGUAAAGUAUUUGAUAACUCUUGCUGAAAUUUGAGUUUUAUUUCUUUAAUGUUCCAUGUGAGAGUUAGAUCAUCAUGCCACUUGAAAAUUGUUUUUUGAUAAGCAUGAUGUUGUAAAUUAUAGUAUUGUUUAUUUUUAUUUUUUUCUCUCCUUCAUUGCUAAGGGACUAGCAAUAUGUCGGUUGGGGGGGAGUGAUUACUACUCAAAAAGUGCUAUUUGAUAGCUUGUAAUUAACUCUUUUAAAUACUUUUGAGUAGUAGUUAUCACCUUUUAACCCAAUUAACAUAUUAAGGACCUUUGCAAUUAUUUCUAAUCACUUUGUGUAAGUUUUGGUGUUUUUGUUAGUAAUUUGAUCACCAAAGCAAUCCAAGAUUGAGGAGAGUUCUUUGGAAUCCAUGGCAAAGCAAUGGAAAGCUCAGAAACAUGAAGAACCGAAGCUUUAAAGUCCUUUGCCAUAAACAAAUCAUGAAUACAAGGAUGAAAGCAAAGAGAAAAAUCUAACAUGAAGAAUCCAAGAGGACAUCAACUGUUUGACACUUUUGGAGCACUUCUUGAAGUCCAUUUAUUGCAUACUAUAUGUUGUUUCGAAGCUCAGGAAGUCAGAAAUCCAACGCUUCAAACAGUUCGUGAAUCGGAGUUGAAAUGAAGAAGUUAGAGCCAUUGGAAGACGAUCACAUCAAGCUGAAGGCCAAUUUCGCAGGGUUGCGAAAUGAUUUCGCAGCCAUCUUGUACGUCUGCAAAAUUUCGCAGCCAUUUUGUGCACCUGCGAAAUUCUCCUGAGUGCUUCUAGAUAUUUGCGGCCGACAUUUUUUGAUAUUUUGCUUCAGAUAUUUGCUGUCUAAAUCCCAAUUCUCUCCUUGUAAUCCACCAAUUAUAGGAUUCCUUAGUUGUUAAGCAAGAACAAAAGGGUGAAUAACCUCGUAUAUAUUGUUUUGUAAUUUUCAUUUUAUAGAUAUCUCGGGAGCCUGUUCUCAGAGAAUCAACUUUUUGUAUAGUUUGAAAUGAAGUAAAAUACAGAGCUUUGCUCUGCCUUACCUACUCAAUUUGAUUGUAUUUUUCAUUUACUAGCCAAACAAGCUCUGAGGAUGUUUCUUCAGAGAAUGGGUGGCUAGGAUUUUUGUUUCUUGGAGCUAAGGUAGCCGGGGAAGGUGCCGAAUGCAAGAAUUGGUAGUUUUGUUGUUUCAGCUGUUAAUGAAGAGAAAGUGUAACCCGUUUAUGAUUUCUAUGUUUUUAGUUAAUUUAAAACGCCUUCAAUUCACCUGAGCCAACACUUGGUAAGGCAAGUAAUCUCCGUCCAUGGAGAUGCACUAAUUUACCUCUUGCGAGCUUUUGGGAGGUGACCUGAAGGUAGGAUUUUCUAGAAUUGCCAACACUUGGUAAGCUUUUGGACUCUAAGGAGGCAUCCAUUAGUUAUCUCUUGCGAGCUUGAGAAGAGAAGUCCAAGGUUAAUGAUCACCUUGAAUGGCAAAUGCUAGGUGAGAGGCACGAGCCAUUGCAAGAUGCGUCAGUGAGAGGGAAUUAGUGCUGAAAUUCAUAAAAGGGAAGCAUCUGUACAACACCGGUUGGAGAAUGAACUAUAUGUUAAUUCUCCAAUGCGAGGAAAAGAACCAAAGUGAUCGGAACUCUGUUUUUGCAUGAGGAGCCUGACCCCAGUGAUCCUAACACUCCAAGAGACGCCUUUUUCUUUAUAAGUAAUUCCCAUUACUUUCUUUUUAGUUAGCUUGAAACCAAACCUUUUUCAACCAAAGUAUAUGUUUUCUUUUGAAGCUAACCUUGAAAUGAAAAGGCACCAAUUCAACUUUGAAUUGGUAUCAGUUGUAAGUUGAAAACCCUUCCUAGUGAACGAUCCUAGAGCCACUAUGCUAUACUAGCUUAUGCUAUCCUAGUGCAUGGUGAUAUAGGUUAUAAAUUUUGUUGAUUACUCCCAUCAGGGGACCAAAAUGAAGGUACACCAGCUGGGAAAAUACGAAUCACAUUGUAACGACCAUACUUCAACCAAUCUACCAAAAACCUGUCCAAGUGAAGACUGUCAAAGAUAACGUCUGAUCUCGCGGCCUCAGGGUGGUCUUAAGACACGGGACGUAACGUAGGCCAAGGUGAUAGGGUGAAAGAAAUGAAGGGAAACUAGGCUCAAAUACCCAAUGAUCAAACCCGUACCCUCGUGUACAAGAUGUAAUGCAUAGAAAAAUCUCAUGAGUCAUGGACUUAGAAGUAACCAAAGGGAAUGUCGAUGAUGAAAUGAGAGAAAGGAUGAAUGGUCAAACCAUCAAUGAAAUAUGUGAAUGAUGUGAAGAAGGUAUCAAAUCAGUAAUGGGUAUCAAUAUGUAGGGAAUGAAUAAAAGGUGGAACAAAGAUCUGGAAAGAGGUAAUGGGAUACAAAAGAAAGCAAUGAGAAAGUGGAAUGAGUGAUGAUCAACCCAUGUUAGUACAAUAAAGGAAAGUCAUAUCACCAAUGAUGGAAUGGUGGGUAAGACAAUGAUCCGGAGACCCUAGUAAAAAGGUCACUCAUCUCUCAUACCUAAUAUAUAUCAAUCAUGAUCCAAGCAGCAUAGGAUCUCAUAGAACUCUCACAUGAACCCUCGACACUCCAAAUGCAUAACAAGAGUGGCUCAAGGAGUGAAGAACUCAUAAAAACUCACAAAAAUCCACAAUGACAAAUAUACCCAAUAAAUGAACCUCAAAAGGUGGCAUAAAUGCCCAAUGGAACGAGAUACCAUACAUGAGCAUAUCAUUGCGUUUUUCUUUUCUUUUCUUUUUUUUUCUUUUUUUUUCUGAUUUUUUAUUUUUGAUUUUUUGUUUUUCUCUUUUUUUUUUUUUUUUUUUUUUUGCACAUGCUCUGAUCAUCAAUAAAUCAAACUCCAAUGGAAAAAUAUAAGGAAUGAACAAACUCUCUCUGACCACUGAUGAAUACAUGAACCCCAACCCAUGAGACAACCUCUCAAACUAAGAUCUCCGAAUCAAUGUCAAAUGAUGGAAUGAAUAGAGUGAUAUGACUGCCCUCUUUGCACUAAGACGUGAAGAAUCAUCAACCCAAGGAAGAGAAUAGAUAAGAUGAAGCAAAUAAUGAUAGAGAUAAGAAAGAGAAUGAAUAUAUGAUGAUAAUAAAAUAGAACAAAUAGGGUGAUAAGACGAUGGUAACAAAAUGAGAAGAUAGACCUAUAAGUCUAAAGCUCAUGAGACUUUCCUAGCAAAGCAUGCAUAUACAUCAAAGGGCCUCAACCCGGGUAUAGAAAUGGUAAUCAAAGCUAUAAGAAAGAAAUAAGGCUAUAACAUACCACGCGAAGCUCAAUGGGCUAGCAACGGUCUAAUAUAUAAAGGUGAUAAAGUAUGAGGCUAACCGAAAUGAUGGCCACCCAUCCUGCGACCACGGUCUCAAACAUAAUACUUCUUCAGCUGAUCCACAUUGGUAGGCUCUGAAAAUUGGUUUCCAUCUAAGUCUGUCAACCAUGCAGCCCCUUCUGGAGUCAACUCUCGGAUAACAUAAGGCCCACUCCAACUAGGUCUAAACUUUCCUCUAGGGUCUCCAAUCAAAGCUCUGAGAAUCCUCAAAACUAAAUCCCCUUUUUGCAAUGGUCUAGGCUUAACUCAUUUCUUGAAGGCACGAGCCAUCUUUCUCUGAUAGGCUUGAACAUGAUCUGCCGCUCUCAAUCUCCUCUCAUCUAAAAGGUUAAGCUAAUCAAAUAGAGCCUGAGCCCACUCUGUCUCAGAAAUCUGCUGCUCAAGGGCUACUCUCAAUGAGCCCAUCUCUAUCUCAACUGGCAAAACAACCUCCAUACCAUACACUAGAGAGUAAGGCGUAGCUCCUAUAGAAGUACGAAAAGAGGUACGAUAUGCCCACAACGCAAAAGGAAGCUUCUCUGACCAAUCUCGAGAAGUCUCAACCAUCUUCCUCAAAAUCCUCUUAAUAUUCUUGUUUGCAGCCUUUACUGCCCCAUUGGUCUGUGGCCUAUAUGCUGAAGAUCUAUGAUGUCGGAUGCCAUACUCCUGCAACAAAGUGUCUACCUCAGCUCGGAAGUGCACCCCUCUGUCUGAAAUCAGCUCAUGGGGAACCCCAUAGCGACAAAUGAUGUGUGAUCUGAUGAAACUGGCGACCCUAGCGGAUGUCAACCUUGCAUAUGAUGCGGCUUCCACCCACUUGGUGAAAUAAUCUAUGGCAACCAGGAUGAACUCAUGAACACUGGAAGAUUUUGGUGAAACCUUCCCAAUGAUAUCAAUACCCCAUACUGAAAAUGGCCAUGGCAAGGUCAAAGCGUGUAACUCUAAUGGCGGUGCAUGUAUGAGAUUACCAUGAAUCUGACACUCUGGGCAUUUCUGAACAAACUGACAACAAUCUGUCUCCAUAGUCAACCAGAAAUAGCCCGUCCUCAUAAUCUUACGGGCUAGUAUGUGUCCUCCCAUAUGCGGACCACAAACUCCUGAAUGAACCUCUCUCAUCACUCGAUCUGCAGAGGCUCGAUCUAAACACAACAGAAGCAUACCAUCAGCUGAUCGUCUGUACAAGGUAUCUUCGCAAAUCACAAAUCUAGUAGCCAAAUGCCUCAAUGCUCUCCAAUCCUUGGCAGUGGCUACCUCAGGGUAUGUGCCAGAUCUGAGAAGCUGAUAAAUGUCAUGAUACCAAGGUAGAUCAUCCUGGUCCUCUAUCUCUCCAAUCAAACAACAAUAGGUGGGUGCAGACCUCGACUCAAUCAGUAAUGGACGUAUGACUACAUCAAUCGGAAUGUCCACGGAGGAAGCUAAAGUAGCUAAGGCGUCAACAAAUCGAUUCCGCGCUCUAGGUAGAUGAACAUAUCUCAAGUCAUCAAAUCUCGCAACCAACAACUCUAAAUAUGCAUGAUAUGGUCUAAGCUUCAUGUCCCUAGUCUUCCAGUCUCCCUGAAUCUGUCUGAGUACCAAAUUGGAGUCACCAAAUACCUCCAUCUGUCUAAUGUCAAGCUCCAAUGCAGUCUCUAAACCCAAGAUGCAAGCCUCAUACUCAACUAUGUUAUUCGUGAUAGGAUGUCGAUCAUGGAAUGCCAAACGAACAGAUCUCGGAAUAUGAUCGCCCUGAGGGGACACCAACAAAACACUUAUCCCAUACCCUGACUGAUUGGCUGAACCAUCAAAGUACAUGCACCAUCCUGAUAAGCUGGUCAUAGCAACAAACUCCUCAUCUGGAAAAUCAUCAUCAACUGGUCUAUCCUCAGAUGUCGAUAGUGAGGCUAGGUGAUCGACGACAAUACUUCCCUUAAUAGACUUCUGAGAAACAUACUGGAUAUCAAACUCCGUCAAAAGUACGAGCCAUCUCAUCAGUCUACCAGUCAAUGCAGGUCUAUCAAAUAAGUAUCUCAAUGGAUCUAGGCAGGAUAUCAAAUGCACUGAGUACUCUGUCAUGUAAUGCCUCAAUCUCCUGGUUACCCAAACUAGUGCUAAGCAUAGGCGCUCAAUCAUAACAUAUUUCACUUCAUACUCCAGCAUCCUCUUACUCAAGUAGUAAAUAGCCCGUUCCUUUCCUAAGUCAUCAAUCUGAGCUAACAUACAUCCUACGGCCAUGUCUGAAACUGACAAAUAUAGAAGAAGUGGACGUCCUGGCGUAGGAGACACUAAAACAGGAGGAGAAAGCAAAUACUCAUUGAUCUUCUCAAAUGCAAACUGACAGUCAUCAUUCCAAACUGUUGGUUGGUUCUUCCUCAAAAGACGAAAGAUAGGCUCCCAUAUGUCCGUCAAUCUGGCUAUGAAAUGACUGAUGUACUGCAAUCUACCUAGAAAACUCCUGAUCUCUUUCUCAGUCUUCGGCGCAGGCAUGUCAAGUAUGGCUUUAAUUUUAUCUGGGUUGACCUCUAUGCCCCGAUCACUGACCAUAUGCCCCAACAGUUUCCCAGAAGUCACUCCAAAGGUGCACUUCUUGGGGUUUAGCCUCAGUCUGAAUUUCUGAAUCCUCUCAAAGAAUCUCUCUAGGGCCGCUAGGUGAUCUGCUCUACCUUAGGAUUUCACAAUCAUAUCAUCCACAUAAACUUCCACAUCCUUAUGCAUCAUGUCAUGAAACAAAGUGGUAGCGGCUCUCUGAUAAGUGGCUCCUGCAUUCUUCAACCCAAAUGGCAUAACCCUGUAACAGUAGGUACCCCACUCAGUAAUAAAGGCUGUCUUCUCCAUAUCCUCUGGAGCCAUCAAAAUCUGAUUAUACCCUGAAAACCCAUCCAUGAAAGACAACAUCGAAUGGCCUGCGGUGCCAUCAACCAACAAAUCAAUGUGUGGAAGGGGAAAGUCAUCUUUAGGGCUGGCUUUAUUAAGAUCUCUGAAGUCAACACAAACCCUAACUUUGCCAUCCUUUUUAGGAAUAGGGACGACAUUAGCCAACCACUCUGGAUACUCAACUACUGAUAUGAACCCAACACUAAGUUGUUUCUAAAUCUCCUCUUUCACCUGUAGACUCCAACGUGGAUGCAACCGUCUCAAUUUCUGCUUAACUAGUCUGGCAUGUGGUAGGGUAGGUAAAUGGUGCUGGACUAUAGAGGGAUCGAGACCUGGCAUGUCCUCAUAAGACCAUGCAAAGACAUCCAAGUAUGACCUGAGUAAAUGAAGGAGUCUAUCUCUCUCAUCUGCAGAUAGGGGUGAACCAAUCUUCAAUUCUCUAGACUGAUCCUCUGUGCCAAAAUUAAUAGUUUCAAUGUCCCCUGUAGCAGGUGAAACUCUCACAUCUAUGGGAUCAGAGUCAUGGUCAAAAGAGUUCCUAUCUAAACCGGGCUGUGCAAUCUCAUCAUCUAUAUCAAAUAUCUAUGAGAUGAGUGAGUGGGGUGCAGAUAUAGAGAUACUAUCACAAGAGACAGGCAAAUACUCAAAAAUGCUCAAAUCCAUAAAUGAAGCAAUAGAAACAUCGUCAGAGCGGGAGACAAAUCCCGAUAAAACAUCAAAAGAAAGAGGUGGGUCCACAAGGUCGGACGCUCCCUCAACUGGGCUAACAAUGCCCUCAAACAAACUACUAUCAUCCUCUAGAAGCUCUGGAACAGGAAUAAUCUGGGUCCCCUCGAGAACCUCAAUGGUAGACACCCCAAACAUGUCAAAUGGUGAAACAGGCUGAAGCUGAACAAUGCUGGUAAUCUGGCUCAUGGUCGUCAUGUCCAUCUCAUCUUGGUACUCAUCAUGGGAAACAACUCCAUCAAUCAUCUUAGUAGAAUCAACCAUCACCCCAUCACCAGUGAUCUCCUCUGGAAAGCAUAGAGACAACAUGCUAGCUCGACCUGGAGACGUGGGAGUAAUCGUCAAAGGGAAAGAAGAGUCGGGAGCCCCAUCACUCAACUGUAGCUGAUGAAAUAGAUGCUGAAGAUCGGUCUCUCUAUCUGUAUGAACCACACUAUCAAUCUCCUCUAGACGAGGUCGAGUCUCUGAUCCUCUGACAAAGUAGUCAGCCAAACUCAUCCUAUAGGGUCGAAUAGGAUAAUCAAAUGGUGUGUGGGAUAAACGAGCUCUCACCCUCUCCUUGCGCAGCCGCACCAUGUGAUGGUAAUCGGCCUCAGUAGGGAUGAAUCCAAGUCCAAAUGUCGUAUCAUGGUCAAUGGCAGCUAUGAACUCGCUUGGUCCCUGCUGACGUCGUCCUAACCCCAUGCCAGGUAGAAAGGUCAUACCCCUCAUCAUAUCAAGGACCAUUGUGCUACUGUGCUGAUCAAAUGACAUAGCCACAAAGUCUCUACAAAAAUCCUCAAUCUCGAGAGUCUGUAUCUCAUCAAAAGUAAACCCAGUCAGAAGUAGGUCGUCCUCACUGUGACUAAUCUGAAGUACUGGCUCAGAAGCGGCAAAUAUAUCCCUGGUAGAGCGCACUGUGAUGACCUGCCCAUCAUGAAUAAACUUCACAUUCUGAUGAAGGGAAGAAGGAAUAGCUCCAGCUACAUGAAUCCAUGGUCGGCCUAGUAGUAGGUUAAAGAAUGUAGGAAUCCUCAAAACCUGGAACAAAGUGGAAAAUGUGGCUGGACCAAUCUGCAAAUCAAUCAUCAAGGUACCCAUAACCUCCCUCUUGGUGUUAUCAUACGCCCUGACUGUCUGAGGAGAAGGACCAAAAUCUGAAGGCGUGAAACCAAGGGCUAUAGCAGUGGCUAAAGGGCAAACAUUCAGGGCUGAGCCGUUGUCCAGUAGGACAGACGGGACUCUACGGCCUGAACAUCCAACUGUGAUGUAUAGAGGGCGCACGUGGUCUAAACCAUCAGGUGGCAAGUCAUCAUCUGAAAAUACAAUGCAAGUGGCCCUACCAGCCGUCAUCAUAUGAAUCAAUCCCUCUGGAGUGGUGGUAGUCUCUACUCUGAUCUGACUCAAGGCUCGAAUCAAAGCAUCUCUAUGAGUACUGGAUGAUGCUAAUAAACUCCAUAUGGAAAUGCGAGCCUGAGUGCUCUGUAGCUGUCUCAAAACCUCAUCAUCCUCUCUCCUAACCUCCUCAUGAGAGGUUGUACCCUCAAAUGGUCUGACUGCUGGUGGUGGUGGCUGAGCUAUCCUCCCACUACGAGUCAUAAUCUGUAUCUCUCUCCCUGCUGAAUCAUCAUCCUCUGGCCAUAAAGUGAAUGGGAUAAAAGCAUCCUGACAUCCGAUAACUAAGAGUGUAGGAUGAGUCAACUGGAAUGGUGCCUCAUCCGGGAUCAAACUGAAUGGUGCAGGAGUUUGAGGGACCACUGAAACCCCAUCAACCUCAUAACUGUCAUGCAAAACAAUCGGCUCGGGUAAUCCAUCAUCCCAACUCAACAUGUGUAUAUUGUCAUCCUCUAUAAGGUCCAUGUGAUGAAUAUCUCCUGAAGAUGGAUGCACUGCGUGUGUAGAAUGAGCAGGAAGAGGGUUAGUGGUCACACUUGGCUGCCCCAAUUUGACCAAACCCUGAUCUAUCAAAUCCUGAAUAGCAUGUCUCAAAGCAGUGCAAUGGUCCGUGUCAUGCCCUGGCCCCUGAUGGUAGGAACAAUGUAAGUCCAUCCUGAAGCGAGGUGGUAUGGGUUGGGGUAAAGGCCUGGAUGCUAAUGGAAUCAGUAAUCCACCCUCUGUGAGCUUCUGAAAAGCUUGACUCAAAGGCAUACCUAACUGAGCAAACUGACGUGGUGGCCUCUACACAUAAGUAGUGGUCUGUGGAGCUCGGGGUCGAGUAUAUGGGGCAGGAGGCCUCUCUGCGACGUGUGCAGCAAAAACAGGCUAUGAGUCCGGAUGCAGAUAAGUAGGAAUCAUAGGUCUGGAAGGAGUAGGUGGUCUGUAAUGCGCAUGAGGUGAAGGUGGAUAGUAGUACCUAGGAGUCUGCCUAACUGUCUGAUAGCAUCUAGAAGGUCUCAUCCCUGCUGAACUGAUAGGACCAACAUCUCCUGAUCUCUGUCCUCCUGAAGGCCUCUUCCCCUUAGAAUCAGUAGGGGAAGACUCAAACCAUAAUCCUCUAGCAAUGCCCUCCUCUAUACCAUACAAAGCCUGUACCAAAGAUCCAAAAUCCGUAUGGGGAAAUCCCAUCAAUUGUCUAGCAAAUCUAGGCAGCAAGCUCCUCGUAAUCAUGCUAAUCUGAUCUCUCUCUCUGAAGGACGGUCUAUAAUCUAUGAAAUCUUCUCCCUCCAGCGGGAGAUAAAUGAAGUGACUGACUCCUCCGGACUCUGUCUCAAAGCCUCCAACGCUCUCCUCGAAACAUCAAUGACAGUGUUAAAUGCAAACUGUCUCAAAAACUCCUGGGCUAAGUCAUCCAAGUCCUACGGCGUGAUACCUCCAAUGAAGUGAACCAAUGCUGUGCAGCACCACUCAAUGACAUAGGGAAGAGCAUAACCAUCUGGGCAUCAUCCAGUCCAUGGGCCCUCAUAACAGUACUAUAGAGUCUCAAAUGGAUGCGAGGGCAUCCUAUGCCUAUGUAUCUCUCAAUCUCAGGCAUCCUGAACUUGGCCGGUAGACUGGCCACGGGUGCUCCAUCAAAAUCCUCCCAAGUAAUAGCUCCCUCUGAAGUCCUCAUCUGUCUCAACUUCUGCUCAAGUUUAUCCAUACGAGCAUGUGGGUCCUCUGAGAUCGGAGUAGGCACUAUGGGAGGCAGGAGGUGGUGCAACCUCAGUCUGACUAUGUAGAGUAAAAGGUAUAGUCUGUGGUACUGGCUGACUGUGCGGAGGUGGUGGUGGUACUGUGGUAUCAAACUGGGUAUCCUCCUGAACUGGGACCUGUUGGGCCUGCUGCCCAUCUAUCCUCUGGCCAAGGCUAGCUAUAGCCUCCUGGAUCGAAGCCAUGGCCGCAGCAAACUGGUCAACGGUAACUAUCUGAGAAUCCAUAUCCCCCUAAUCUGAUCUCUGGUCUAACUGGUCUGAUGCUCUGGUCAAUCUGCCUCCAACUCUAAUCCACGAAGGCGAAUCCAGACUGGUCACGAUAAACUCUCCUACAAAUAUGGAAAUACUGGAUAAGGUGCGGUACAAAAGCGACUCUGUAUGAAUCAAGUGCGUAGAAGCAAAGCCCAAAUAUACUCAAUCCGAUACCCUCCUCUGAUUACACCAAAAGGAGACUAAGGAAGGGAUAACCAAAUCCAAUCGUGACCAAGGCAGCUCUGAAGGUCCACAGAUGCACCCACGUGUAGGAAUGAAAUCUUAAUUGGGUCUAGGCUAACCUACAAGGUUAAGGCGGCUCUAUAAGAUAAAAUGGGUGGGUCAAAGGAUCCCUAGCAGAAGCGAUCGUACCCUCCGGCGGUACGCAACCCUCUGCAUGCCUCCAAGGAGACGGGGUGCUUCCAUGCAAGGUGGUCAUUACCUCCACACAUGCACUUCCUCGCGUUCCCAGGGGGUUUCUUAAAGGUGAAGGCUCUCCCAUCUCUCAACACUCAGGGAUAAUCUAAAGUGCACAAUGAAGGAUGUGGGUGCAUCCGAAAAAAACCUUAGAUCUAAAGUGAGAUAGUGAACGAAGACAAGCAAUCAUACGAACAUGCAAGAGAAAAGGUUGUCAUGCAACAAGCAGUCAUGCGAAGCAGAUAAAUAUCAAACAAUCAAAGUCCUAUCUAACAUAUGUGAGAGUGAAUCAUGCUAAGAGCAAAACAAUCAAGUGAUCAUCCAAGGCAAUCAAACAUGUUAAGAUAGCAAAGCAAUCAAGCAAGCUAACCAAAUCACCUUGCCUAAAAAGGGUACCCUCUAAUAGACCAAUUAAACGCCACAUUUUCCUUAACUAGUGUUCAAGCUUGAUCCUCAAGAUCCCCAGUGGAGUCGCCAAUUUGUGGACCAGCAUUUUUCACAUGCGCCCCUACUCGAUCGGCGAGACUCGCUUUCUAUUUGUGAAAAAAUAAUUUUUGAAAAAAAGUUGGAGUCGCCACUUAUUUUAUUUUUAUUUUUAAAGGGAAAAUAAAACAAGAAAUAAAACCCUAAAAAAUGACUCCAUAAUUUUUGGAAAAGCGUGUCUUUGAAAAACCCGAGUCUAAGUCCGGGGAUCAGCUUACCUAUUGGGAAGGUACCUUUGAAAGAUAGCACCCCUCUAAGCCCUAUAAAGGUCUCUACUGACAAAGUUAAGGGAAGUGUGGCUAUUAAUCAGUUUAAUUAUGGAUACCUAAGUAGGCUAGGUGAUUUCAAAUAUAUAGCAUGCCAAACAAGAUUUAAUCAUAAUAAAGGAGGGUUAGGAUGCGUACCCGGAUCACUUCUCGAGCACUAACACAAGACAUCAAAGAUUAGUUUGGAAAUAUGACACAUAGUAUGUAUUUUCAUCAAGGACGAUCAAACAAGCAUCAAGGCAAUCAAUUAUGGCAUCAAACAUGGUCAUGUCUCAUGAGAACAUACGCAUUCAUAGAAUUUUAGGGUUGUGGGGUAGAAAGGGCGUACCUGAUUUGCAAGCAUCCACAUCUCUAUGGGAAGCAAGGAUAUCUCAACAAUAAAUGCGAAACAAAUUCAUUUAUAUCAUCAAGAAUAAUAAAAAAUCAACAUGUCAAGCAAACAAUAUUGAAGAGAGUAUCAUGAAUGUCAGGCCCCCACCAAAGCCCUAAUUGAUUUCGCAUGAGUUGGUUCUAUGAAUUCCAUUGUUUGGAAUCAUGAAGUUUGUUCAUGCUUGAGAAAAUUGAGAAAAAUCAAGAAAAUCGAUUGAAAAUCAAAUAAAAUAGUGAAAAUGCAUGCCGGAAGGAAAAUGGCAGCAAGAGUGUGUUAGAAUAUGGAUUUUAUACCUAGCAAAGACCUAAGAUGAAUUUUUCAAAGUCGGGAAUGUUUAGUUGAACAAUGGUUCAAAAAUUCUAUUUAAAACAGUAAGUCCCCAAUCAAAGAAGCGAAUAUAGGAUAAAGUGUGUAUAGCAAGGUUGCCAUGAAGUGAAGCCGGGAGAUUCUGGAUAGAAGGGACCAAUUCACUACAAAAGUGUUCAACUGUCAAAUGCUUCAACUUAAGAGACAUCUUGAUUUGUAAGCUCGACUGGAUUCUCCUCAACAUAAGCCAAAUACUGAAUAGAAGGUUCAGAAUUCCAGUUUUCUCCAUUGAGAGGUUUUCUGUAUUCUGCUAGUUUUCAAUUGAUUAAGCCUUUCAACUUUUACCUCAAUCCGCCAUAAUAGAGUUCGAUUCAUGUGGCCUGUGGUCAAAUAAACUAUUUUCUGCAUACUUAAACUUCCUAUGUGAAGACUUCAUUACUUGGAGAGACAUCCUGACUACUUCGAAUACAUGAUUCAAAUUAUGUUGUUUGCUGAGGAAUUCCAAUAGAGAGCAAGAAUGUUCAGAUACCGUUCUUAACUUCUGUCACACACGGAGACUAUUUUCUUUCUGUCUUAAACAAUCUGCACUGAACUUGGUUUUCAUCUUUAAUGAUGGUGUUUGAUCUGUAUUUCUAUUAAAAGCUCUACCAAUUCCAUAACAGUUCCAGAAUUCUGUAUCAAUUGGUCUCUUAGCUGGACAAACGAAUAAAGUCUGUAUGUGCUUCCUAUUUAUUCAUCAAAAGCAAACUAAGGAUACCCUUGAUGUGAUAGGCAGCUAGAUCAGUUUCAAUCUCCACAAGUACAGAGUCCUUUUGCUGUCCUGAACCCCAUUGCUUUAAGGUCAAUAUGCUUGAUAGCAUUUGAUUUGGCUAUAACUCGAUUUUCAAUUUCUUAGUUUUCUUUUGCUGAAGCCAAAAUUCAUCUGCUUCUCAAGUAUCUCUAGAAAUUAAUCAUGCAAUCUUGAAGCUCCAGUUUGUCGUGUGUCUUGCUCUGCCCAUUCACGAAGAUUUAAAAAAAAAAAAAACAAUCUGAGCUACUCAAAGAGUCUGAUAUCUGUCAAAGUAUGUCGAGUUAAAAGUCAUGGAAACAAGCCAAUUCCCUCCCCCUUCUUCUUACUCUGUUUCUGCCACAAAUCAGUCGUAAGUGAAGUAUGUCCAGUUCUUCACAAUACUAAUGACUGGUGGGGCAGGCUGAUGUUGAGUGAAGCCUUCUAUGGACUAAGGUAUUAUGUAGAACAAUAGACAUUACUUCAGAAGACUGGGUGAGAUUAAAUCAUGGCAGUAGCCUGAGUGGAACUUCAAUCCCUGAUUUUUCCACAAUUAAUCAGCAAGCUUCAGAAUUUUCCUUGUUCUAUGAACCGGGAUCAUCACAUAAAAGGCUCAAAGUUGGACGAUCAAAUGGACUUGGAGACAUCAAGUGCUGCAAAAGGGGUGUUUGUUCAGGAAAUUCAACAACCCAAGAAGAAGGGAGUUCUCCCUCCUAUUUCAGAUCAUUAAGAACGAUGCUUCUCUCCAUUGUUGUUCCAAUCGAGUGCCAUAGUUCAAAGAAUACAACUCCUAAGCUAUACAUGUCAGCCUUCUCAUCAAUCUUUGACCACCGAACAGUAUUCCAUCUGUAUAUAUGAAUAUGUUGAUUCAAGCUUAGUCUCAUGCACAUUUAUAUCUGCCAAGUUUGCACAUUUGUUGCAAAUUGACAUAUCCUGCAGAAACAACUGGCUAUUGUCAUCUGUAUUUGAGCAUGGAACAGCAGCGUGUGAUUGACCAACUGGAACAAUUUCAGAUAGGAACUCUCGAGAGGGAGCUUGCUUCUAUCCAAACCAUUCCCCUUUUGUUUAUUAUGUGAAACAUCAUUAGCCGAAUCUUAACCAACACUGUCACGUGUUAUUGGUGAGCUUGUUGGCAUCUUGUUUUGGGCAGAAUAAUGAGAUCCCUCAGUUAAUUAGAGAUCCAUAUCAACUAAAACACCAGAAUAAUGGAUUUCCCAUGUUUUCUGCUGGACAACGAUUGUCAAUUCUUUCUCUUGUUCACUUCUAGUGGCAGUGGCUUGACUCUCCAACAAAACCCUUGAUGCACCCUGUAGCUUCUCAUUUAAUUCUGGAUUCUUAUCAGCAUCGCUUUCCGUCAUUGAUGAGCUUCUAGGAUGCUUGUUUUUGACAGGAUUCUCUGACUGCUCAUAAUGAGUUACAAAUUCCCCACAAUAGAAUAUUAUGAUCGUCGGCCUUACAAUACUGUUCUUUUAAAAUUUUCUGCUCACUGGAUAGUCAUAGUUCAAACCAUCUAUAUCAAAAGGCUUUCCCAGGCACUCAUCUUCGAAACCUUAGAUCCAGCAAGUCUACAACCGUCUGAGCAUAUUCUUCAAAAAUCCGAUCUCUCAGCAUGGCAUAUGACACUGAUAGGAUUGAAUUUUCAAAUUUCCGACUUAAAGGUCUUGGGCGUUAGCUGGAAGUUAUGAGGUGGCAUACAUGAACGGAUAAUGGACGAAAUAAUGCUUGAAUUUCUUUGAACAUUCCAUUUCAAUAGUUGAAGAGAAACAUGUCUUCGAAUAACUCUUUUGCACUAAAGAUCAACUUGACCAAUAUUCAGUAAAGUUGAACAUUUAUCAAUAACUGCAUCGGACACCUCUCAACACUCUACUGCAUUAUGGAACAAACUAGUUACCCCGGUUCUUGUCAUUGACCAUAUCCAAUCAUUAAGGCUCCCCGAAUCACUAUGCAUAGGAGAGCCAGCAUGUGCUGAGGACAGCUUCGCAUACUCAAUAAUAAAAUUCCUUGCAUUCAGAUUCAUGCAUCCCUCUAUAGGACUUGUAGAACUAUUAUUGAAAGUGAACGGCCCAGGUUGCUUUUAGAUGAUGUUAAGAGAACCUCUUCUCAUAGAUCCUGUGGAAAUAUUGUAAUCACUGAGACAAUAUCCAUUUCAGUUGGUUGACUUUCUAGUUCCUGUGAUUGAUGCAGCCUUUGUGCUUGAAGAGCUUGACUGCGAUGUUGUCUCUCAUAAGGUCCAUUUUUUACUGCCCAAAACCCAGAUCAGACAUGUGAUGAUGUCGCAACUGUUCAAGAAGCAAUUGUUGAAUGUGAGUCAUGCUGUAACUGUUGUUGUUGCUGCUGCAAUUUCAUUUGGUGGUGAUGAAGCUGCUAUUCAUGAAGCGCAAACUCUCACU